UGGGAGUAGGUUCGCAAGAAUGAAACUCAAAGGAAUUAAUGGGGGCCCGCACAAGCAGUGGAGCAUGUGGUUUAAUUUGAUACAAAGCAAAGAACCUUAAGAGGGCUUGACAUGCCGCGAAUCCUCUUGAAAGAGAGGGGUGCCCUCGGGAACGCGGACACAGGUGGUGCAUGGCUGUUGUCAUCUCGUGCCGUAAGGUGUUGGGUUAAGUCUCACAAUGAGCGCCACCCUCGUGUUUAGUUGCCACUAUGAGUUUGGAACCCUGAAAAGACUGCCGGUGUUAAGCCGGAGGAAAGAGAGAAUGAGGCCAAGUCAUCAUGCCCCUUAUGCCCUGGGCGACACACAUGCUACAAUGGGCGGGACAAAGGGUCGCGAUCUCUCAAGGGUGAGCUAAAUCCAAAAACCCGUCCUUAGUUCUGAUUCCAGGCUGCAACUCGCUUGCAUGAAGCAGGAAUCGCUAGUAAUUGUCGGUCAGCCAUACGGCGGUGAAUCCGUUCCCGGGCCUUGUACAUACCGCCCGUCACACUAUAGGAGCUGGCCAUGUUUGAAGUCAUUACCCUUAACCGUAAGGAGGGUGAUGCCUAAGGCUAGGCUUGCGACUGGAGUGAAAUCGUAACAAGGUAGCCGUACUGGAAGGUGCGGCUG
RNAcentral lists this ribosomal RNA (645 nucleotides) under Triticum aestivum (bread wheat). Its description in RNAcentral is "rRNA SSU_rRNA_eukarya". It matches the Rfam family "Bacterial small subunit ribosomal RNA", at positions 874 to 1520 of the family's 1533-position model. The record is from RNAcentral. Lineage: Eukaryota; Viridiplantae; Streptophyta; Magnoliopsida; Poales; Poaceae.